GGGCGGAGGCCUGAAUCCGAGCCAGGGGUCGGGGCGAGGCUUCGGCCUCCUUCCCUCCCUCCCGCCUUCCUUCCUUCCCACACAAACAAGUCGGGCGCGCACUGACUCUGCCCUUCCCUUCCCUCAGGAAGGAAGGAAGGAGGGAGGGAGGGAGGCUGGGAGUGGCGGCGGCUCCCCUCACGCUCCUAAUUACCCCCAGCGCCUCAGGAGGAGGAGGAGUUUUCCCCGCCGACGAACUCGCCCUUCCAGCUGCCUCAGCCUCCCUCCUCCUCUUGUCAGGGAAAGAGGUGUGAGCGCCUUGCUUGGAGUCAGAGUCAGAGACAUACAUACACACACGCCCUCUCGCCUUCUCCCUCCCUGCCUGGAGGCGAACCUGAAGCGGUGAAAAACAACCGCAGUCACGCCCUUCCCGCCCUUUUCUCCCCAAAGAGGCUCUAACUGAGGUAACAGAAGGGGCCGCUUCAUUGGGACACCUCCCCGACGAGGAGGCCUCGGUUGUCUGUCUCUGAAGUGACCCAGCCAAGGAGGGUGCAUGGAUAUUUAUUUAGGAGUCUCUUUUCAAAACUUAUGUACAUGGGACUGGUUAUUCCGGUUACUUCGAAAGAAGCACAAAUAAUGGAUAAUCUGAUGUAAAACCUUUGUUCAGGGUAACCUCCCACUUAUUGUGCUGAUAGUUAACCAGUGAAACUGGAGACAGGAUUAUCAGGUCAUGCAAAAUUACCAAAAAAAUGUAUUAGAUGCUCAUGUUGAAGUUUUUCCUUACAAAAACAACUGAAAACUUUUAUUUGGUAUAACCUUUUCUGGAAUUUAUUCCAUUUCAACAAAUGUAAGUGCAACACUUAUAUUGACAGCUCUUAAUGUUACACAUUUCUAUUAAUGCGAAUGAUAUUGAAGUGUUGCCCCUUGUGUAAUAUUUUUGCCUAUGGUGAACUCCAGGUCUGUUGCAGUAUAGUAGUACAAACACUGAUGUUUAGACAGUCGCGCCCAGCACUCUCAGUAUGCUAAAACAAAUGGUGACAAAAUUCUACACAUGCCACCAGCAUUUCUAUGAUCUGUCCUCUUGCGUGACAUUGAUGUCUUGGCUUACAUUUAGUAUUCCAAGAAGCUAGGUCCUGAGGAUCAACCUAGUUUGGUUCUAAUUGUCUAGAAUAUUUUCCUGAUUUUUAAAUGCCCCUAUUUCUUGUGGUUCCCAAGAAAUAGUCUAUUUAAAAGAAAUGUAAUGGCUGCUAAAGGUUUGCACCAUAGUGAUAAGAGGUGGUGCAUUUUAAUUUAUUUUGCUUCUGUUCAUUUUUAUUCUGUAAUCCCAAGCAAAUAAUAAUCACUCCACUGUCAAUAUUAGAGUAACAAAAAAGUCCUUGCCUUUGAACCAGCAAAGCUGGGCUAUGUCAAUUGAAACAACUUGUUUUUAUCCGCAGCUAUGACUGCAUUUUAUGAAUUUUAAUGUUUUACAUUGUAAUUAUGUAUGUGCAUGGUUGUAACUCUGUGUUUUUAAUUGUUUCAGAUUCAUGUAUUAUCUAUAUGCGGCACUUCAUUGUAUUUUGUUGGCUGCCCUGAGUCCUUUCAGGGAGAUGGUGGCGUGGUAGAAAUAAAAUUUAUUAUUAUUAUUA
Anolis carolinensis (green anole) is the source of this 1607-nucleotide long non-coding RNA. RefSeq lists it as uncharacterized. The record is from RefSeq and is a predicted model, not a curated record. NCBI's taxonomy places the organism in Eukaryota, Metazoa, Chordata, Lepidosauria, Squamata, Anolidae. The transcript has 3 exons.